This 465-nucleotide ribosomal RNA is filed under the name uncultured Klebsiella sp. Its description in RNAcentral is "bacterial SSU rRNA". It matches the Rfam family "Bacterial small subunit ribosomal RNA", at positions 338 to 795 of the family's 1533-position model. The record is from RNAcentral. Lineage: Bacteria; Pseudomonadati; Pseudomonadota; Gammaproteobacteria; Enterobacterales; Enterobacteriaceae.
CCUACGGGCGGCUGCAGUGGGGAAUAUUGCACAAUGGGCCCAAGCCUGAUGCAGCCAUGCCGCGUGUGUGAAGAAGGCCUUCGGGUUGUAAAGCACUUUCAGCGGGGAGGAAGGCGGUGAGGUUAAUAACCUCAUCGAUUGACGUUACCCGCAGAAGAAGCACCGGCUAACUCCGUGCCAGCAGCCGCGGUAAUACGGAGGGUGCAAGCGUUAAUCGGAAUUACUGGGCGUAAAGCGCACGCAGGCGGUCUGUCAAGUCGGAUGUGAAACCCCCGGGCUCAACCUGGGAACUGCAUUCGAAACUGGCAGGCUAGAGUCUUGUAGAGGGGGGUAGAAUUCCAGGUGUAGCGGUGAAAUGCGUAGAGAUCUGGAGGAAUACCGGUGGCGAAGGCGGCCCCCUGGACAAAGACUGACGCUCAGGUGCGAAAGCGUGGGGAGCAAACAGGAUUAGAUACCCCAGUAGUC